Molecule: ribosomal RNA, 423 nt
Filed under: Priestia megaterium
Lineage: Bacteria; Bacillati; Bacillota; Bacilli; Caryophanales; Bacillaceae
Description: bacterial SSU rRNA
Rfam family: Bacterial small subunit ribosomal RNA
Source: RNAcentral
GAAGAACCUUACCAGGUCUUGACAUCCUCUGGCAACUCUAGAGAUAGAGCGUUUCCCUUCGGGGGACAGAGUGACAGGUGGUGCAUGGUUGUCGUCAGCUCGUGUCGUGAGAUGUUGGGUUAAGUCCCGCAACGAGCGCAACCCUUGAUCUUAGUUGCCAGCAUUUAGUUGGGCACUCUAAGGUGACUGCCGGUGACAAACCGGAGGAAGGUGGGGAUGACGUCAAAUCAUCAUGCCCCUUAUGACCUGGGCUACACACGUGCUACAAUGGAUGGUACAAAGGGCUGCAAGACCGCGAGGUCAAGCCAAUCCCAUAAAACCAUUCUCAGUUCGGAUUGUAGGCUGCAACUCGCCUACAUGAAGCUGGAAUCGCUAGUAAUCGCGGAUCAGCAUGCCGCGGUGAAUACGUUCCCGGGCCUUGUA